GUGGGGAAUCUUCCGCAAUGGACGAAAGUCUGACGGAGCAACGCCGCGUGAGUGAAGAAGGUUUUCGGAUCGUAAAGCUCUUUCGUUAGGGACGAACGUGCUCUUUGUGAAUAAUGAGGAGUAAUGACGGUACCUAAAUAAGAAGCCACGGCUAACUACGUGCCAGCAGCCGCGGUAAUACGUAGGUGGCAAGCGUUGUCCGGAAUUAUUGGGCGUAAAGCGCGCGCAGGCGGGAUAUCAAGUCUGUCUUAAAAGUGCGAGGCUCAACCUCGUGAGGGGACAGAAACUGGUAUUCUUGAGUGUCGGAGAGGAAAGUGGAAUUCCAAGUGUAGCGGUGAAAUGCGUAGAGAUUUGGAAGAACACCAGUGGCGAAGGCGACUUUCUGGACGAAAACUGACGCUGAGGCGCGAAAGCCAGGGGAGCGAACGGGAUUAGAAACCCUAGUAGUCC
Molecule: ribosomal RNA, 450 nt
Filed under: uncultured bacterium
Lineage: Bacteria
Description: partial 16S ribosomal RNA
Rfam family: Bacterial small subunit ribosomal RNA
Source: RNAcentral